CCUACGGGUGGCAGCAGUGGGGAAUAUUGCGCAAUGGGCGAAAGCCUGACGCAGCGACGCCGCGUGAGGGAUGAAGGUCUUCGGAUCGUAAACCUCUGUCAGCAGGGAAGAACGGUCACUGUGCUAAUCAGCAGUGAAUUGACGGUACCUGCCAAGGAACCACCGGCUAACUACGUGCCAGCAGCCGCGGGAAUACGGAGGGUGCGAGCGUUAGUCGGAAUUACGGGGCGUAAAGCGCUCGUAGGCGGUAUGACAAGUCAAGGGUGAAAUCCCCGAGCUGAACGUGAGAACUGCCUUUGAAACUGGCAAACUGGAGUGUGUGAGAGGAUAGUGGAAUUCCAGGUGUAGGAGUGAAAUCCGUAGAUAUCUGGAGGAACAUCAGUGGCGAAGGCGACUAUCUGGCACAUAACUGACGCUGAGGCGCGAAAGCGUGGGUAGCAAACAGGAUUAGAUACCCCUGUAGUC
This 465-nucleotide ribosomal RNA is filed under the name uncultured bacterium. RNAcentral's name for it is "partial 16S ribosomal RNA". It matches the Rfam family "Bacterial small subunit ribosomal RNA", at positions 338 to 795 of the family's 1533-position model. The record is from RNAcentral.